AAGUCGUAACAAGGUUUCCGUAGGGUAAGUCGAGCCCCCCAUAUACCCCUAAACUUUUGAGAGAACAAAUGCUAACGUCCCCUAUAGUGAACCUGCGGAAGGAUCAUUAAUGAGAACUAUGGGGAGCGUGGGGCGGGUCAAACCCCUCGCGUCUCUCCUAAUCUCCCAAAACCCCCUGUCUACCGACCUCACACACACAUAAAGUACGCAAUAAAAAGUCGUCCUUAGCGGGGCGCACUACAAUAAAUGUACAAAAAACAAAACUUUCAACAACGGAUCUCUUGGUUCUG
Molecule: unclassified non-coding RNA, 290 nt
Filed under: air metagenome
Description: partial contains small subunit ribosomal RNA, internal transcribed spacer 1, and 5.8S ribosomal RNA
Source: RNAcentral